RNAcentral lists this ribosomal RNA (1117 nucleotides) under Sordariomycetes sp. 11216. Its description in RNAcentral is "eukaryotic LSU rRNA". The stretch from base 531 to 1117 matches the Rfam family "Eukaryotic large subunit ribosomal RNA", at positions 1 to 598 of the family's 3401-position model. The record is from RNAcentral. Lineage: Eukaryota; Fungi; Ascomycota; Sordariomycetes.
GAUCAUUAUAGAGUUAUACAACUCCAAACCCGUGUAAACGUACCUCAUUGUUGCCUUGGCCGGCUGUGCCUACCCUGUAGCGACUUACCCUGUAGCCACCUACCCUGUAGGAGUUACCCUGUAAGGAUCUACCCUGUAGGCAUGUCCAGGGCCGGCCGAAGGCUCCCGAACCCUAGUUAUAUACGUGACUUCUGAAAACGCAACUUAAUAAGUUAAAACUUUCAACAACGGAUCUCUUGGUUCUGGCAUCGAUGAAGAACGCAGCGAAAUGCGAUAAGUAAUGUGAAUUGCAGACUUCAGUGAAUCAUCGAAUCUUUGAACGCACAUUGCGCCCAUUAGUAUUCUAGUGGGCAUGCCUGUUCGAGCGUCAUUUCGACCCUUAAGCCCUGUUGCUUAGUGUUGGGAGCCUACCUACCCUGUAGCUCCUCAAAGUUAGUGGCGGAGUCGGGUUACACUCUAAGCGUAGUAACAUUUUCUCGCUUCUGUAGUUGUCUCAGUUCCUGCCGUAAAACACCUAUAUUUAUCUAGGUUGACCUCGGAUCAGGUAGGAAUACCCGCUGAACUUAAGCAUAUCAAUAAGCGGAGGAAAAGAAACCAACAGGGAUUGCCCUAGUAACGGCGAGUGAAGCGGCAACAGCUCAAAUUUGAAAUCUGGCCUUCUGGUCCGAAUUGUAAUUUGUAGAGGAUGCUUUUGGCGCGGUGCCUUCCGAGUUCCCUGGAACGGGACGCCUUAGAGGGUGAGAGCCCCGUACGGUUGGACACCAAGCCUUUGUAAAGCUCCUUCGACGAGUCGAGUAGUUUGGGAAUGCUGCUCUAAAUGGGAGGUAAAUUUCUUCUAAAGCUAAAUACCGGCCAGAGACCGAUAGCGCACAAGUAGAGUGAUCGAAAGAUGAAAAGCACUUUGAAAAGAGGGUUAAAUAGCACGUGAAAUUGUUGAAAGGGAAGCGUUUACGACCAGACUUUUUCCAGGUGGAUCAUCCGGUGUUCUCACCGGUGCACUUCGCCUGGUUUAGGCCAGCAUCGGUUUCCGUAGGGGGAUAAAAGCUUUGGGAAAGUAGCUCCCUCCGGGGAGUGUUAUAGCCCGCUGCAUAAUACCCUUAUGGGGACCGAGGAUCGC